AAAGGUGCCAGGGCUCUGCCGGCCACAUACUGGCCGCGUCCAUCAUGAUCUCAAAAGACACAGUCUCCAAGGUCAUAAUCCCGAGGGUUGAGAUCCUGAAAGCCCAAAUCCCCAAGUUGCGAUUCCCAUGGAACAAAAGGCCGAACUUGGGUUUGUCUUUCAGGAUCGUGGCUCAAACCCCGCAGCUGGAUCCAGCCAGGAAUGAAGGCCGCUUCCCUCAAGCAUGAGCUUUGUUGUAGAGCGGGCCUGGCAGGGCUGCCUGGUAGGGCCCGGAGCAGAGAGACAAGCAGGCCUGUCCCUUGUUGCACUUUCAAGUGACUUGUGACCUCCAGGGCAGCCUGUUUAGCUCCUGUACUGCAGCAGACCUAGACCCGCCCAAGCAGGCCUGCGGAAGACGAGUUAUUUAAUUGACAAAAUGUUUGUUUUUAUCCAGUAGAAAUGUCCUUGGGUCCCUUUUGAGACCAUUCCGUAAGCAUUCAGACCAUCCCGACUAAUCGUCAGGAAAGAGUGCCCCGCGGGGGUAUCAGAAAGAGAGUUAUCAGGAAAAAUUAAACAGUGACAGAGCAUUAGUAUCUGGAAGGAAGAGAGUCUUGUCACAUCAAGAGGCGGGCUCCCCAGGAUGAACCCAAACUAUGUAAAAUUUUAGAUGUCAUUAACAAAAACAGGGGGGCUGCCAAGCUGGGUGGUCAUGGUGGGCUCCUGAGGAUGGAUUCCCACCGCCCCUGCCUGUCCAGGAACCGUCUGAUGGCGACAUCACGCAGGUCUCCGGUUGGUUUAAAACAUCCCUUGUCAACAGUAUUGCAACUUAAAACCCUCUCCCCGCUCCCCACCAAUCAGAGAUGUUAAAUCGGGCAAGAGAUGUGCAUUCUGGAAUUACCUUCUGCCGGAUCUCCAAACCAUUUCAGGACGUCCUAAAGUCACGUCCCUCACCAGGCUUCCUGAGACCCGGAGCCAGUAGCGUCCACACUGCUGGGUUUCACAAACACUCCUCUCUUCCUUAGCAACCUCAAGAGCAAGAUGUCCUGUUACUAGUGCAAACCACUUUUUAUUUAUUCCAGUAUGGUGUUGAAUUAAUAAACU
RNAcentral lists this long non-coding RNA (1080 nucleotides) under Marmota monax (woodchuck). Lineage: Eukaryota; Metazoa; Chordata; Mammalia; Rodentia; Sciuridae. The record is from RNAcentral.